UGAAAUCCAGCGUGUUCUGGUGGGCGUGGGGCAUGGCCGGGGUAUAAACUGGUCCCGGGUAUCCUCUCCCCUAGCUCACCCUUGCCAAUUUCUCUAGGAGCCACCAUCGCCGUAGAAUUUGCGCGCGCGGCGGAAGAACCUCGCCAGACCCCGCCGUCGUCGACCGGCAUCCGCACGCGCCGCCCCGACCUCAACCUGUGAUCGGGGGUCGUCUCUGGGUUCGCAAAACCUCGCGACCAAGUGCCCGAGCGCGGGGUUCCGCGGGUGGCCGGAAUUUCGUCACCGUACCGUCGAAUUUGUCGCGACGCGUGAACAGCCUGUGUGCAGCUUCGUUCUCGGUGAGUUCCGAACCUGUGAAGUUCACCUCGUCGUCCUUCAUGCGUAGCACCAUUUUAUUCGGAGUCUGGGCGGUGGUUCGCCAGUUUAGCCAUGUCCGACCAUGGCGCCACCGCAUGUGAGAGCGCCGUCGCGUCUGUUCGCCGGGGAGAACAGGUGAUGGGGAACGAUGCGUUAGAAGCCAUCGAUCUCAGGAUUAGCGGUUAAGAUUAGAUCACUACUUACCCCUUCACGCAAUCAAUCCUGACCGUAGAUCUCAUAUCCAGUGGCUGCAGUUAGAUCUUAGUAUUUAAAAUCUACGUCGUCAGAUCCAAAUCUGAGGGCCGAGAUUGCGUACCGGUUCGCGAUGGGACUGAUCUAAUCCGGGCCAUCCGCGCUUGAUCGGACGGCCGUUAACGCUUCAUACCCCUUCGGUGUGCGCAGUUUGCAGAAAGAACCUUAUAAUUUUAGCGAAUCAACCCGCCAUCCCUGCCAGUAGCUUUCUGUGUCUUAGGCAUUUUUCUGUAUUAACCCCUGCGCUUCACAAUAAAUGAAGCCCAGUCCAGUGCUGUUUGAAAUUGAAUAAAUAAAUUGGAAAAUGGAUUUUUAAUAUGAAAAUAAUUACUAUGACUUGAUAAAUUCAUAGAAAAUUCAUAUGAACUCUAAAUUAACCCAUUCCACUUUCUAAAUUUUUGUAAUAUUAUUUUCUAUCAUCUAGAGUCCCUGUUUUGUCAUGAAAACAGUAAGAAAAAUAAUUUCUCACUUAAUCCUAUUUAAGCACAUAAAACCUUUGGAAAUUCAUAUCUUAAAAUCUAUAACUCCAAAAAUUAUGAUUCAUGUUAUUAGGAUUAUAUUUUAAUGUGUAGAUUAUUAUUAUGUAUUUUGUUUACAUGUUUGGUGUGAUGUUAAUUUUCUCUAUAUAUUGUGCUUGUUUGUAUUGUGGCGAGUAGAAGAGCCUGUGACUGAGGAUCCUGGUGCCUAGCAGAUAGAAGUAGCUGAGCAGGAGCUCAUUGAAGGCAAGUUGUGCCCUUGACUACUUUUAUACCCAAUAAUGUUCUUUAAUGUCAUUAUUCAUGCAUAUGUUUAAUUUUGAUGGGACCCGAUAGGUCACCCUAGAUUGUUUAUCACUUUACCUUGUUAUCCUGAAUCGCAUGGGUAGCUUUGCUAUUGCUUUACAUGGGUUUGGGAUAAUAUUUCAUUAUAUCCAUGUUCCAGUUAUUUUGUUAUUCUAUUUAUGUUCAUGUCAAGAUCAUUAAUGUUAAUUGGAACAUGGAGCUUAACUUGAGAAACAUGUGCCACCACAAGGGUUUAAUGGGACGCCCUUGGCCAACUAACUAGGAAAGCUAGUGGAAGACUACCUUACCCGAAAGGGGCAAGGGCAGUAGGGGAGUUGCAUGUAGGGAGGUUCUCGGGUUGAUUUUGCUGUGAUGGCAGUCAGACGGGGGAUUCUUGCAAGUGCUCUUCCCAUAAACUGUAGCGGGUUUUCGGAAGCUAGUGGAACUUUGUAAAGGCCUCGUAGUGUUGCCCUGCCUCGCUUCCUUGGUAGAGGUGUAUGGGAGUCGUGAUCCCUUGGCAGAUGGGUAACAUGACUUGUGGGUACAGGGUACAACCUCUACAGAGUGUAAAACUGGUAUACUAGCCGUGCUCGCGGUCAUGAGCAGCUCAGGACUCUCGCAUGAUUAAUUUAUGAAACAUAAAUUCAAUUUGUCAUUUGCAUUGCAUGGGAUUAUGUAUUAAUUUUGUUUUAUUACUUUUAUUAAGGUUUGAUAUUUACUUACAUUUAGUAACUGCUAAUAAAAUUUUGACCAACUAAUUAAAAGCAAUGCUCAGCUUUAACCCCUAUUGUUGAUUAGCCUUACACAUCACAUGGACUCCCACCUUUGGUGAGUUCAUGCCCACUGGUUUCCCCACAACUUGUUGAGCUAUGAUCAUGUGUGAGCUCACCCUUCUGUCUCACACCCCCAACAGAAGAAGAACAGGUGGUUCAGGAGGAGCCACAAAGCGAGGAGUUUGAUCUGAUCUAGGUGGCGUUUCCCCAGUUGACUCUUGCGCCAAGGAUGAUCCUUAGUUCGUUUUAUAUUCAUCUUUUAUUUUGUAAUG
Molecule: long non-coding RNA, 2415 nt
Filed under: Zea mays
Lineage: Eukaryota; Viridiplantae; Streptophyta; Magnoliopsida; Poales; Poaceae
Description: long non-coding RNA (ZMAY_LNC003131)
Source: RNAcentral